UGCCAGCAGCCGCGGUAAUACGGGGGGGGCUAGCGUUGUUCGGAAUUAUUGGGCGUAAAGGGCGCGUAGGCGGUCGUGCAAGUCGGAGGUGAAAUCCCUCGGCUCAACCGAGGAAUUGCCCCCGAAACUGCAUGACUUGAGUCCCGGAGAGGGUAGCGGAAUUCCCAGUGUAGCGGUGAAAUGCGUAGAUAUUGGGAGGAACACCAGUGGCGAAGGCGGCUACCUGGACGGGUACUGACGCUGAGGCGCGAAAGCGUGGGGAGCAAACAGGAUUAGAUA
Molecule: ribosomal RNA, 279 nt
Filed under: uncultured bacterium
Lineage: Bacteria
Description: partial 16S ribosomal RNA
Rfam family: Bacterial small subunit ribosomal RNA
Source: RNAcentral